This 253-nucleotide ribosomal RNA is filed under the name uncultured bacterium. Its description in RNAcentral is "partial 16S ribosomal RNA". It matches the Rfam family "Bacterial small subunit ribosomal RNA", at positions 524 to 776 of the family's 1533-position model. The record is from RNAcentral.
UACGGGGGGGGCAAGCGUUGUUCGGAAUUACUGGGCGUAAAGGGCGCGCAGGCGGUUUAUUUUGUCAGGCGUGAAAGCCCCGGGCUUAACCUGGGAACUGCGUUUGAUACGGAUGGGCUAGAGUUCGGGAGAGGAGAGUGGAAUUCCCAGUGUAGAGGUGAAAUUCGUAGAUAUUGGGAAGAACACCGGUGGCGAAGGCGGCUCUCUGGACCGAGACUGACGCUGAGGCGCGAAAGCGUGGGGAGCAAACAGG